Penaeus chinensis is the source of this 555-nucleotide long non-coding RNA. RefSeq lists it as uncharacterized. The transcript is spliced from 5 exons. Lineage: Eukaryota; Metazoa; Arthropoda; Malacostraca; Decapoda; Penaeidae. The record is from RefSeq and is a predicted model, not a curated record.
CGCAUCGUGUUUCUCACUUGCUUCUUGUUUACGUCGGGGAGUGGAAGAGCCGUUCAGUCUCUUCGUCCUGAACCUCCGUCCUCACAACAUGUCCUGGCAGAAUAUCCUGUUUCCACGAGGGUGUCUUGGAGCAAGGAUGCCUACUCUCACAGGAUCUUUGGCAAUGAGAAGUAGAGGACGAAGUUCUUGUGAAGAUUCCAGAAUUUGGAAGUCUGGAUGACUAGACUGAAAUGGAAGUACUUUAUGAAAUAGAAAUGGAAGAACUCCAUACCACAUGAAGUCCAACAAUUGUGGAUCCUUCAUUAUGUUCAGUGGAAUUGGUGUUGUAUUCAUGUAAAAUCGCUGACUGAAAAGCGGUGGCUUCCAAGCCAUCUGUGGUUACUUGUGUGUGCACACACUUUUUGUAGCACUGUCUAGAGGUUUUUGGAGAAGUGAAGGCGCAGACCGAAUUCUUGAGGAUGGAUGCAGAUGUUGUGCAUAUUUGAUGUAUGCAUAUACUCUUACUAUAAUAUAAAAGUAUGUGAUGUGUAUACUCAAUAAAAAGUAGUAUGGGAA